RNAcentral lists this transfer RNA (88 nucleotides) under compost metagenome. Its description in RNAcentral is "tRNA-Ser". It matches the Rfam family "tRNA". From Rfam's summary of the family: Transfer RNA (tRNA) molecules are approximately 80 nucleotides in length. Their secondary structure includes four short double-helical elements and three loops (D, anti-codon, and T loops). The record is from RNAcentral.
GGAGAGUUGGCUGAGUGGUUUAAGGCAGCGGUCUUGAAAAUCGUCGAGGGGUAACCCUCCCAGGGUUCGAAUCCCUGAUUCUCCGCCA